RNAcentral lists this long non-coding RNA (855 nucleotides) under Homo sapiens (human). Its description in RNAcentral is "HSALNT0081815". Lineage: Eukaryota; Metazoa; Chordata; Mammalia; Primates; Hominidae. The record is from RNAcentral.
CAAAAGACAGUCUAUUUUUGAGAAUGAAUUUUUAAAGCAAAGUACCUGAAAAUGUUGUGUACUUGUUGCACUUUAUUCAGCAAAUGUUUAUUGUGCCCAUGUUUGCAAGGCACGGUUUGAGGCUGGAGAAAGAGACUUCCAAGGAGCUGCCAGCUGGCUGUGAUGACAGGGUGGACUCGGAAACUGGCAGAGGGUGUUGGCGCAUUUUGCCUCUGAAGUCAUAAGUUUGGGUGAGUGACACAGCGGUAGAGUCUUGACAGGGCUGGGGAAGGUGGGAGGAAGAAACAGCCCCAGGAAAAGAGGAUGGGUGUGGCUCGGGGGAUGUGUUUAGAUUCUUCAGUCAUAUUCAGUCUAACAUGUCUAUUUCCUGUAUUUCAUUCUUCGUCUCUACCCUUCCACUUGAUUUUUCUUGCAAGUUGUUAUGUUGGCUUUUCCCCCCUUUAUAAAAAAAAUGGUCAGGAACUUGGGGAGGUGCAUUGAAUGAUGACAGUGUGUUUGAGUAAAGUAAAUGAAUGCAGUGGGGUAAAUCCAUGCUUUUAGGGCAUAAUCCCAGAGGCGACAGAUUUAAGUUUUUAGGUACAUGCUUUUAUUAUUCAGGCUGGCUCUUGGUACUGAAAAUGUCUUGACAAAUGAGCCAGCAUUCAGAUAACUGAAAAAAUGAACUUCUGUGAAAUACUUCUGUUUGCUUUGAAAUUAUUCAUCACUUUGUUUGGGGGACCUUGCCAAAUUCAAAGUGGAGUAUUGUGAUGUACCUUGAGCCUGAUGGAGUUUUUUUCUGUAUUUAACCAAGAUCACACUUUAAAACUAGACAGAGAAUCAUGGGUACCUUGUAAAAAACCUACCACGGACGCCAGA